GCACGCCCAGCACCCCCCUCAGCGUGACCGCGCUCCCCUCCUGCUGCGCAGCUCUACCAAACCCUCACCUGGCUCGGAAAUCAUCCAGGCUUGGAGCAACUUUGCGGAGCAUUACCGGGCGUGGUGGGCCUGGAGGCGGUGGGGGUGGAGGUGCUUUAAUGGUACAACUUUGGCUUUUCUUUCAAGAGGAGAAAACAAGAGGGAGAGUGGGGUGGGGGCUCUGUUGGGCCCCUGAGGAGUCGAAGGUUGCCUCUCUGACACUGCAUCAGGUCAACCAUGGGCUCUCUGGGACGCCUAUCAAGCCCAGCAGUACCCCUGGAGUUGUCCCCAUACUGGAUUCCUGUGACCCUGCCAGGGUCAGGCGGGACCGCGUACUGACAGCUCCACAAGGGCCAAGAGAUGUCUUUGCAACUAUCAUGAAGCCUCCUGUAUCCAUAGGCCCUGAGAUUCUGGUACCUAUGGGCAAAAGGGCCAACUGAACCAGGCCUAGGCUGAUUCCAGCCCAGCUGCACCCAGCACUACCCAGUCACAGGUAAGAGGCCAUUUGUGGGUUAGUGGGGCUUUUAGGGAGGGCUGUCUCGAGGCCCUCUAUCCACAUG
Molecule: long non-coding RNA, 599 nt
Filed under: Mus spicilegus (steppe mouse)
Lineage: Eukaryota; Metazoa; Chordata; Mammalia; Rodentia; Muridae
Description: lncRNA (ENSMSIG00000009427.1)
Source: RNAcentral